Molecule: ribosomal RNA, 429 nt
Filed under: Acidobacteriota bacterium
Lineage: Bacteria; Pseudomonadati; Acidobacteriota
Description: Acidobacteria bacterium partial 16S ribosomal RNA
Rfam family: Bacterial small subunit ribosomal RNA
Source: RNAcentral
UGGGGAAUUUUGGACAAUGGGGGAAACCCUGAUCCAGCCAUCCCGCGUGUGCGAUGAAGGCCUUCGGGUUGUAAAGCACUUUUGGCAGGAAAGAAACGUCAUGGGUUAAUACCCCGUGAAACUGACGGUACCUGCAGAAUAAGCACCGGCUAACUACGUGCCAGCAGCCGCGGUAAUACGUAGGGUGCAAGCGUUAAUCGGAAUUACUGGGCGUAAAGCGUGCGCAGGCGGUUCGGAAAGAAAGAUGUGAAAUCCCAGAGCUCAACUUUGGAACUGCAUUUUUAACUAACGGGCUGGAGUGUGUCAGAGCGUGGUGGAAUUCCGCGUGUAGCAGUGAAAUGCGUAGAUAUGCGGAGGAACACCGAUGGCGAAGGCAGCCUCCUGGAAUAACACUGACGCUCAUGCACGAAAGCGUGGGGAGCAAACAGG